UAAUACGUAGGUCGCAAGCGUUGUCCGGAUUUACUGGGCGUAAAGAGCGCGCAGGCGGCUGGUCAAGUCCGAUGUGAAAUCUCCCGGCUUAACUGGGAAACUGCAUCGGAAACUGAUCGGCUUGAAGGUGGGAGAGGGUAGUGGAAUUCCCGGUGUAGUGGUGAAAUGCGUAGAUAUCGGGAGGAACACCAGUGGCGAAGGCGACUACCUGGCCUGUUCUUGACGCUGAGGCGCGAAAGCUAGGGGAGCAAACGGGAUUAGAUACCCCGGUAGUCCUAGCCGUAAACGAUGGACACUAGGUGUUGGUGGUAUCAACCCCGCCAGUGCCGAAGCUAACGCAUUAAGUGUCCCGCCUGGGGAGUACGGCCGCAAGGCUA
RNAcentral lists this ribosomal RNA (377 nucleotides) under uncultured bacterium. RNAcentral's name for it is "bacterial SSU rRNA". It matches the Rfam family "Bacterial small subunit ribosomal RNA", at positions 521 to 896 of the family's 1533-position model. The record is from RNAcentral.